UUAAAUUGAAGAGUUUGAUCAUGGCUCAGAUUGAACGCUGGCGGCAGGCCUAACACAUGCGAGUCGAACGGUAACAGGAAGCAG
This 84-nucleotide ribosomal RNA is filed under the name Salmonella enterica subsp. enterica serovar Anatum. Its description in RNAcentral is "partial 16S ribosomal RNA". It matches the Rfam family "Bacterial small subunit ribosomal RNA", at positions 1 to 82 of the family's 1533-position model. Lineage: Bacteria; Pseudomonadati; Pseudomonadota; Gammaproteobacteria; Enterobacterales; Enterobacteriaceae. The record is from RNAcentral.